This 378-nucleotide ribosomal RNA is filed under the name uncultured beta proteobacterium. RNAcentral describes it as "bacterial SSU rRNA". It matches the Rfam family "Bacterial small subunit ribosomal RNA", at positions 355 to 729 of the family's 1533-position model. Lineage: Bacteria; Pseudomonadati; Pseudomonadota; Betaproteobacteria. The record is from RNAcentral.
UAAGGAAUAUUGGUCAAUGGGCGAAAGCCUGAACCAGCCAUCCAGCGUGCAGGAAGAAGGCCCUACGGGUUGUAAACUGCUUUUGUCAGGGAAGAAACCCUUGGAUUCACUCCGAGGCUGACGGUACCUGAAGAAUAAGCACCGGCUAACUCCGUGCCAGCAGCCGCGGUAAUACGUAGGGUGCAGGCGUUAAUCGGAAUUACUGGGCGUAAAGCGUGCGCAGGCGGUUUGCUAAGACAGGUGUGAAAUCCCCGGCGUUAACCUGGGAACUGCGCUUGUAACUGGCAAGCUAGAGUGUGGCAGAGGGGGUGGGAUUCCAGGUGUAGCAGUGAAAUGCGUAGAUAUCUGGAGGAACACCGAUUGGCGAAGGCAGCCCCC